Molecule: long non-coding RNA, 1339 nt
Organism: Pongo pygmaeus (Bornean orangutan)
Lineage: Eukaryota; Metazoa; Chordata; Mammalia; Primates; Hominidae
Exons: 4
Source: RefSeq, a predicted model, not a curated record
GGUCUUCGAGGGGCGGUUCCCUUACCCGCCCGCACCCACCCCAGGUAGGGGGCUCUUGAGGCCACCGUCUAGUCCAAGGUUCUGUGACCCCUGUUAAAUGCCCCUGACUCCCAAUUGCAGAAAAGAAAAACCGAGGCCCAAGAGAUAUUUUAUGCCCUCACAUAUAUGGGGUUCAAAGUAAAUACAAAAGAAUAAACAGGGGUGAAGAGGGACCCCCGUCCCAUUCCCGAGGCGUAAGACCCCCCACUGAGGGAGGGGCUAGUAAAGACUCCACCCCUCCCCCGUUUCUGAGGUUUGAAAAGAAAGAAGUAGAGGUCAAGAGAGCCUUCCCUCCCCACCAUUCCCAGAAAAGGAGGAAGGGACUGAUGGACUCUCUGGGAACCCCCUCCCCUCCCUGCGCCUCGUCAUCAAGAGUCAAAUUCGAAGAAAAGGUUUAGCAGGGACAGAGAAGCGACCUGUCCCGGAAACCCCUUAAAGCCUGCGGCACGCGAAGAGGGAAGCAGAGGGGAGCGAUGGAUACUGAGGCUUCCGGAGGCGGGGAUCGAACCCUAGGCUUGAGCAUGGUGCUGCCCAGUCCGCUCGGAGGGCCGACCAGCAGGACGAGCUCUUCCCGGCGAGGUGCGGAACCAAAGUAAGUUCGGAGUAAAGACCCUGUCGGCCGGACGCGGUAGCUCGCGCCUGUAAUCCCAGUGCUUUGGGAGGUCGAGGUGGGUGGAUCGAGACCAGUCUGAGCAACAUGGUGAAACCCUAUCGCUACUAAAAAUACAAAAAUUAGCCAGUACUCCUAUAAUAUCGUCCAGGCAGUGACUCAACAAAGCUCACCCAGGAAGGUCCGGGAGAUGUACUGGGACACCUGGUUCCCAGAGCGGCUGGUUUCGGACAGGUGGGUCAACUCCCGGUUCAGGAUCCGCUUGAACUGGGGCGGAGGGAAGGUGAAGACCGUGAUGAUGGGGCACCGUGGGCGGAGGCAGGUGAGCUCAGCGAUCUGCACCACCUCACCUUGUUGGAGGCCAUCUCCCCCACCGAGUGCCGGGUCUGCAGCGUCUCCAACUGAUCCAGGCACCAGUCCAGCUCGUCUAGCGUCUCCAAUGCCAGCUUUUGCCCCGUGUCCUCUGGGAGCCGAGGCAGUCAGGGGCCUGCCCAACCCCCGCUCAGGGACCCCAUGCCUCUCACGCCUUCGUCUCUGCAUCUGGACCCUGAAACUGUUCCCACGGGGGCCACCCAGGACUCCUGGACCCCAGUUCCAGAUGUGUCCCCCGAGUGCCUGUGUGACCAUGAGAUCUCUGGGCCUCAGCCUCCUCAUCUGUAAUAUGAGUGUGGUGGGGUCCAUCCCCGAGGG